CCAUAGUCAAUGUGACUCGAUACAAUGGUAGGCUGUUUAGCUGUAAUGCUUUCAACGCGUCAGUAAUGGAACCACUGAGCCUCUACAUCUCAGUAUCAGCUACAGUUCAGACGGUGUGUCCUUCACAGUCAACAUGCUGAACACCACUUCCUCUUUCCUGAUCGGGUCUACUCUGACCAUGUCCUGCUCUGCCCAGUCCAACCCUCAGGCUGAGAUUCAAUGGACUUUCAAUGGGAAGCAUCUGAAUUGGACGAGUCUAGAUCUGAAGCUAUAUAGUGCUGUGGAGAGCCAGAGUGGCCUAUGCUCCUGCCUGGCCUUCAACAACAGGACCAUGAGCUACAGCAACAUCACUAGACAGAUCACCAUCAGCAGUGGGUCAGUGUCAGAACAGCUGGGGGUCAGUGUCUGGCUCCUUCUCCUCUCCUCAUUGGCUGGGGUCCUCUUCUGAACGCCAAUGGGAUAGCAAGUCUCACUGACUGAAAAAUAACACACAGACCAAAAAAUGCUUUCAGUUAAGUGAACCCAUAUGACACGUUCUGACCUUUUAUUUCCUUUGUUUUGUCGUUAUUUAGUAUGGUCAGGGCAUGAGUUGGGGUGGGCAGUCUAUGUUUGUUUUUCUAUGAUUUGGGGAUUUCUAUGUUUCGGCCUAGUAUGGUUCUCAAUCAGAGGCAGGUGUCAUUAGUUGUCUCUGAUUGAGAAUCAUACUUAGGUAGCCUGGGUUUCACUGUUUGUUUGUGGGUGAUUGUCUAUGUUAGUUGCUUGUGUCAGCACUGUUCUCAUUAUAGCUUCACAGUCGUUAUUCGUUUAUUGUUUUGUAUAGUUUGUGUUCAGUGCUUUCUUUUAUUUAAAAAAUCAUCAUGAACACAUAAUGAACACACCACGCUGCAUUUUGGUCCGUUCCUUACGACAAUCGUGACACCAUACAAUAUAUUUAUUCAAACAUUCAUUUCAUUUACGUAGUGCCAUGGGCCAGGGCAAUGUGAAUAAAUUAUGCGAUUGACAAAAUUGUUUUAUAAUAUGGUGAAAUAAUGUCAUAGAUAUUGCUAUAACCGAACAUGGUCACUCUUGUGCAAUGAUCUCUUAUUGAUGUCACUUAUUGAUGUCACUUGUUAUAUCCACAUCAAUCAGUUUAGAUGAAGGGGAGGAGACAAAUUAAAGAAUGAUUUUUAAUCCUUGAGAAAAUUGAGACAUGGAUUGUGUAUGUGUGCCAUUCAGAGGGUGAAUGUGUAAGACAAAAUGUCUAAGUGCCUUUGAAUGGGGUAUGGUAGUAGGUCCCAGUCCAACAGUUUGAGUGUCAACAACUGCAAUGAUUCUGGGUUUUUCAUGCUCAACAGUUUCCAAUGUGAAUCAAGAAUGGUCCACCAGCCAAAGGAAUCCAGCUAACUUGACACAACUGUGGGAAGCAUUGGAGUCAACAUGGGCCAGCAUCCCUGUGGAACGCUUUUGACACCUUGUGGAGCAUCCCUGUGGAACGCUUUUGACGCCCCAAUGAAUAAGGCAGUUCUGAGGGCAAAACAGGGUGCAAUUCAAUAUUAGGAAGGUGUUCCUAGUGUUUUGCAAACUCAGUGUAUUUAGAAAGAGAAAAUACAUUGCACCAUUUUCAUAAGGUAAAAUAUCUAUUCAAAUAUUAACAGAGAAGAAUGAAAAAGCAGUAGAAAUAAUAGAACAUGUCAAACUUGUCCGCAAAUCAUGAAUGUUCUGUGUACCCUUAUGGAACAUUUGGUUUAUUCAAUAACAACCACAAAAAUCUGCUUUUAUAUGGGCAAUUAAAGACAUUUACUGUAUGUUCAAGUCAUAUUACAACAAGAAUGUUUGACAUAUUUUUGUUAUUCCACCAGGUCUUAAGAUAAUUACAGUACUGAGGGGUGUUGAAAUACAUGUUAUAUGAUUCCUCCCAGUGAUACUAAUCUGGAUAAAUAGAACUUGAAUGAAGAAAAAAUACAAUAAAAAACUGUUUUCAGAUCAAUUAUUCCUUUGCAAUUACAGCAGAAAUGUUCCUUCUCAGGAUGACAGGUCCAAAGAUCUGCGGAGAAUACUUGUAAGAGAUUGGGAAAGAAUGGUCAUUAGCCAGUUUCCCUAAGUUUUCACAUGACUGGGCAGUGGCACAGCCAUGGGUGGGCCUGGGAGGGCAUAGGCCAAUUAGAAUGAGUUUUCCCCCACAAAAGGGCUUUUUGACAGAAAUAAAUCCUCCUCAGCACCCCACCCCUCCUCCCCUGAGUUGAUCCCGCAGGUGAAGAAGCCAGACUUGUAGGUCCUGGGCUGGCUUGGUUACACCUGGUCUGUGGUUGUGAGGCCGGUCGGACUUACUGAACAUUUUAGAAUGGCCUUUUAUUACACAAGGAGCACCUGUGUAAUGAUCAUGCUGUUUAAUCAUAUUCUUGAUAUGCCACACCUUUCAGGUGGAUGGAUUAUCUUGAAAAAGGCUAAAAUGCUCACUAACAGGGAUGUAAUCAAAUUUGUGCACAACAUUUUACAGAAAUACAUUUCUGUGACCAACACUUUACAUGUUGCGUUUAUAUUUAUGUUCAGUGUAGAAAGGAAAGGUAUGUGUUUCUAACACACCCUUGUUAGUCUACCUGCGCCAGGUGUAUUUGAGUGGACAUUUGUAUAGAAGCCUUCCUGUUUGUGUCAAUCAGGGGAUCCUUUUACUGAGAGGACGGGAGCAGUGAUGGUGUUUAAAGAAAAGUGAAUAUAAGAAAUAGGAAUCCUUGUUAAUGUAGUGCCUUUAGGCAUUGGCACCCCUCUUCCACCUAGACCUGCGCUACUUCUCCCUGGGCACUCCCUCCAUGAGUGUUCCAACACAUUGUCUGUUUGAGUAUGUAAAUAAAACAAACAAACCUAGUGGUAUUUGGUUGUGAGAAAUCUGACAUUGCUCUGUCGAAGUUUGUCUUGUAGGACAGCUGAAUGAAGCUCCUGGAACAGAAGAUGUAUGGAAUUGAUUACGUGGUAUGGAGGUUGUACCUUUCUUGUG
Oncorhynchus tshawytscha (Chinook salmon) is the source of this 2971-nucleotide long non-coding RNA. The record is from Ensembl. NCBI's taxonomy places the organism in Eukaryota, Metazoa, Chordata, Actinopteri, Salmoniformes, Salmonidae.